Molecule: ribosomal RNA, 495 nt
Filed under: uncultured bacterium
Lineage: Bacteria
Description: partial 16S ribosomal RNA
Rfam family: Bacterial small subunit ribosomal RNA
Source: RNAcentral
GACGAACGCUGGCGGCGUGCCUAAUACAUGCAAGUAGAACGCUGAAGGAGGAGCUUGCUUCUCUGGAUGAGUUGCGAACGGGUGAGUAGCGCGUAGGUAACCUGCCUGGUAGCGGGGGAUAACUAUUGGAAACGAUAGCUAAUACCGCAUAAGAGUAGAUGUCGCAUGACAUUUGCUUAAAAGGUGCAAUUGCAUCACUACCAGAUGGACCUGCGUUGUAUUAGCUAGUUGGUGAGGUAACGGCUCACCAAGGCAACGAUACAUAGCCGACCUGAGAGGGUGAUCGGCCACACUGGGACUGAGACACGGCCCAGACUCCUACGGGAGGCAGCAGUAGGGAAUCUUCGGCAAUGGACGGAAGUCUGACCGAGCAACGCCGCGUGAGUGAAGAAGGUUUUCGGAUCGUAAAGCUCUGUUGUAAGAGAAGAACGAGUGUGAGAGUGGAAAGUUCACACUGUGACGGUAGCUUACCAGAAAGGGACGGCUAACUACGUG